Molecule: ribosomal RNA, 392 nt
Filed under: uncultured bacterium
Lineage: Bacteria
Description: partial 16S ribosomal RNA
Rfam family: Bacterial small subunit ribosomal RNA
Source: RNAcentral
AUACGGAGGAUGCGAGCGUUAUCCGGAUUUAUUGGGUUUAAAGGGAGCGUAGGUGGGAUAUUAAGUCAGCUGUGAAAGUUUGGGGCUCAACCUUAAAAUUGCAGUUGAUACUGGUUUCCUUGAGUACGGUAUAGGUGGGCGGAAUUCGUGGUGUAGCGGUGAAAUGCAUAGAUAUGACGAAGAACACCGAUUGCGUAGGCAGCUGACCAGACCGCAAAUGACGCUCAUGCACGAAAGUGCGGGGAUCGAACAGGAUUAGAUACCCUGGUAGUCCGCACAGUAAACGAUGAAUACUUGUUUUCGGCGAUAUAAUGUCGGAGGCAAAGCGAAAGCGAUAAGUAUUCCACCUGGGGAGUACGCCGGCAACGGUGAAACUCAAAGGAAUUGGGGGG